GAACCUGAACAGGGCACCUAAACCCCAGAGCAGACUGGGCUGUAGCACACCCUUUUCCCCUUGCUGCCUAAUUUAGGUACAGUGCCCUGUUGGGUUUUUUUUUGUCCAGUGACCAGGCCAAGAUAUCAAAUCAGGCAUUUCUGUUUCCCAAAGAAUUAGCUCUAGCCAAUUUUUUUUCAUAUAUUUCCUUUAUUAAUUACUAAAGAACCAGGGCUGCUGCUAAUGGAAAUGUGUCACACAGUAUUUUUUAAGUAAUUUCAUAAAAUUUACCAGAAGAAAAAGAUCAAAUAGUUUUUUUGUCCUCUUACAAGAAGAUAAUACAGAAGGGAAAGGAAAUGUUUAGUGCCUCACCAAUCUUUUUCAGCACACUGUGUGCUUCACUUUGCUUUCUGAGGGUGUCUGGUUGUCCUGCGGGGUUCCUGUGUACUGACAAGUGCUCUGUCUGUGGCUGAGAGCCCUGCUAGCAUCAGCUGUUUUCAUUUCCCAUUACAACAGAGGUAAAUAAUAGAAUUUCCCAUAUUUCUCCUAUAUAUAGGUCCCUGGUAUCAAAGAGGCUUUAUGGUGGUGUUCGUUGCCUCUUUCUCCUGGUCCACUUUGGAGCUGUAAGAGGACACACGUGCCAUUUGAAUCUUGGAAAGAAAAACUAGGAGAUAGUGUAUGGGAUGCUAAGGUACAGGCCCAAGGCAGACAGUCCCCAGGUUGUCUUCCAGCCUUGCGACAGCAAGAUUGGUAGCUGAUGUAUUGCUUCUCUAUCCUGAGAUGUGCAGGCUCCAAAUUGUCCUGGUGUAUCCAAGUCUUUGUGAGCCCCAAGAACACUUUCUGGCUGUGAUCUAAGGCAGGGGGAAGAAAAGAUGCCUUGAGACUUCUCUCUUGGCACCCCAGCUGACGUUACACAUCUGCAAGAGCGGCUCCCGGAAUACAGGAUCAUGCAGCAGGGCCAGGAACAGAGGAGGACAGGAACAGUAUUUGGUCAGGUGUGCAGCUGUUGAAUGGUCAGGUCUGUAAAGAGAGAAACCUGUUAGUGCAAGCUUGACUGUCGUUCUCCAGUCGUUUUCAGUGCAUGGAUGAAUCCAUACUCUUAAUUUCAACUUCUCCCAAUGGCCACAUGUCUGCCAUAACCUGUGAACGCCCACCUUGCAGUCACAGUGUGCGGUGCAGUUGCGUGCCCAAGCAAGGGGAAUGGGCUUGUUGUCCAUGCUUGCAUUCAGGUAGAAAAAAAAUAUAGGAAAAGCAACACCAAGAUGGUUGUGAGCAUGGUGCUAAGCAUGUACUUCAGGCUGAGCUUUGAACAGAGGGACAUGCUGGAGUAUGCCUUAUUGUAGUGUUUUCACCUCCUGUUUUCAGGCAGAGGUCAGCGUUCACAUCUUAUGUAAAUAAAUUGGCCUCCUGACAGCAAAAACAUUGCAAGGCCACGUAUACAGACUCACUGCUCAGACAGCAGUGCAGGGAAUGCAGCUGCCAGGAAGAGAAGGUGGAGCUCAGCAGAUGGAUCUAGAUGGGAAGGAGGUCCAGUGUUGGAAGUCCAGUGCUGGAAACCUGACAAGUAAUGAGAGCUGGAAGGGAGUCCAGUUUCUCCAGUGAUUCUAAACAUCGUAGCAGAGCCAAGUUUAAGUAAGUCUGAGGAGUGCCUGGAGGCCCAGGCUAUGUUGCAACACCUAUUUGCUAUGUGCAGGACAUACUUUCAGGAGACCAUUUCCAUCUGGAAUAGCUUCUUCUGCACACACUAAGUAUCAGUGAGAAGAAAGAGACUGAUCACGCUGCACUGGAACAGAGAAGAUGCAUAGUUUACCCAAGGCUGUAACUGAGAAAGUCCUCUAUAGAGCUGUAUGGACAGCCUCGCUCUCAAGCCAUGUGGAUAGACAGCAGAACUGAUCAGCUGAUGUUUUUGCAUGGAGAAAGAAAAGAGUGCAUAUGCCUGAAACAACCUGUGCUAAACAUGGUGAUACAAGUGGCAAUUCCACUUGUUCAGAAGGCAGCCUGAUCAUGGGAGACUUAAGAGUUUUUGUUCAUGUCUUUGCUAAUGAUCCCUUUAAUUACUAGCUAUAAAUCAUAUGGUAUGAAAAUAUCACCAUUCUCAUUUCAAGAAGAAAGAUUUUGUAAUGCUUUCUCACUGUGUAAUAUGUAUGGAUUUAGGGCUCUGUGGAUUAAAUUUGGCAAUUUCAGGCAUGCAAGGUUACUAAUCCGUACUUUGUCUACAAAAAAAUAGAAAGAAGAAGCAAGGCAGCCUUGUGCCCUGGGGAUGGCUGGGGAAUUCCACACAUGCCUGUCUUCUGUAACUCUUGUCAAGGGUGAAAACAUUAACAUCAGUGUUGCAAUAGUUACAGGCAGACCGAAGGGGCACACUUGAAGCAAACAUACGUGGUUUCGUUAAGUACUUCUCUGUUUUCACCUCACGGUUAUUUUUUUGACAUCUCUGUUCUUCCAGUUUCCUGAUGUUUUAAAGAAUGUAUUUGUCACAUUUAAUUCUGUUUUCCUGUAAUAACUUCAUCCACAGAGACUUCUCUUGGAGAACGGCCCAGAGAUUUUUCUGUUUCUUCUUACAUUUCUAUUUUCUCUGCAUCUGCUAUUACAUCAUUUAUAUGGGUUACAUACACAUAAUUUUAGUUUUUAUGUCAGAGUUAUAAUGCCACAAUCAGGCUGUCGAAAUGGCUAAGUCCUGAGGAAUUUAUUUAGGCAGGAUUUGCACAGAAUUUUGUGUGAUUGCUUCAAUAAGUUGAAUGCUGCAAUAUUUCUGGUAGGUAUGCAAAAAUAAUAUAGGUAUAAGAAUAGAGCAUCAGUAAAAAUCAUUUCAGCAGUCACUAAAGUGAACCACAUUGUGCAGCUUUAACAAGGUCAGUGACGAACUAGAAGGAAGCAAGGAAUCUUGAUUUUGGCUUCAGUUUUCAACUCUUGACCACACUUCUUUGCUGUAUAAUUAUACUAUUUACUGUUAAAUUUCAUUUAAUAUUGAACUGAGUAAAUGCUAUAAUUACUGAAUUUAAUAAAUUC
Molecule: long non-coding RNA, 2988 nt
Organism: Gallus gallus (chicken)
Lineage: Eukaryota; Metazoa; Chordata; Aves; Galliformes; Phasianidae
Source: Ensembl